GAUGAACGCUAGCUACAGGCUUAACACAUGCAAGUCGAGGGGCAGCGGUAUCGAAAGCUUGCUUUCGGUAGCCGGCGACCGGCGCACGGGUGAGUAACGCGUAUCGAACCUGCCUCAUACUCGGGAAUAGCCUUGCGAAAGCAAGAUUAAUGCCCGGUGUUUUCAGAGUCCCGCAUGAGGCUUUGAACAAAGAUUUAUCGGUAUGAGAUGGCGAUGCGUCCCAUUAGCUUGUUGGCGGGGUAACGGCCCACCAAGGCAUCGAUGGGUAGGGGUUCUGAGAGGAAGGUCCCCCACAUUGGAACUGAGACACGGUCCAAACUCCUACGAGAGGCAGCAGUGAGGAAUAUUAGGCAAUGGGCGGAAGCCUGAACCAGCCAAGUAGCGUGCAGGAAGACGGCCCUCCGGGUUGUAAACUGCUUUUAGUUGGGAAUAAAACGGGGCUCGUGAGCCCCCUUGCAUGUACCAUCAGAAAAAGGACCGGCUAAUUCCGUG
This 492-nucleotide ribosomal RNA is filed under the name uncultured bacterium. RNAcentral's name for it is "partial 16S ribosomal RNA". It matches the Rfam family "Bacterial small subunit ribosomal RNA", at positions 28 to 507 of the family's 1533-position model. The record is from RNAcentral.